AGUGAACGCUGGCGGUAGGCCUAACACAUGCAAGUCGAACGGCAGCACAGGUGAGCUUGCUCUCUGGGUGGCGAGUGGCGGACGGGUGAGGAAUACAUCGGAAUCUACUUUUUCGUGGGGGAUAACGUAGGGAAACUUACGCUAAUACCGCAUACGACCUACGGGUGAAAGCAGGGGACCUUCGGGCCUUGCGCGAUUGAAUGAGCCGAUGUCGGAUUAGCUAGUUGGCGGGGUAAAGGCCCACCAAGGCGACGAUCCGCAGCUGGUCUGAGAGGAUGAUCAGCCACACUGGAACUGAGACACGGUCCAGACUCCUACGGGAGGCAGCAGUAGGGAAUAUUGGACAAUGGGCGCAAGCCUGAUCCAGCCAUACCGCGUGGGUGAAGAAGGCCUUCGGGUUGUAAAGCCCUUUUGUUGGGAAAGAAAUCCAGCUGGCUAAUACCCGGUUGGGAUGACGGUACCCAAAGAAUAAGCACCGGCUAACUUCGUGCCAGCCGCCGCGGUAA
RNAcentral lists this ribosomal RNA (506 nucleotides) under uncultured bacterium. Its description in RNAcentral is "partial 16S ribosomal RNA". It matches the Rfam family "Bacterial small subunit ribosomal RNA", at positions 29 to 523 of the family's 1533-position model. The record is from RNAcentral.